UCCUCCCUCUUUCUUCGUGCUUAACACAUGCAAGUCGAACGGUGAAGCGCCUUCCUUUUUGGUGGGUGUGGAUGAGUGGCGAACGGGUGAGUAACACGUGAGUAACCUGCCCCCUUCUUCUGGAUAACCGCAUGAAAGUGUGGCUAAUACGGGAUAUUCUGGGUCUGUCGCAUGAUGGGUCUGGGACAGAUAUUGUUUCGGUGGGGGAUGGGCUCGCGGCCUAUCAGCUUGUUGGUGGGGUGAUGGCCUACCCAGGCGGUGACGGGUAGCCGGCCUGAGAGGGUGGACGGUCACACUGGGACUGAGACACGGUCCAGACUCCUACGGGAGGCAGCAGUGGGGAAUAUCGCACAGUGGGCGCAAGCCUGAUGCAGCGACGCCGCGUGAGGGAUGGAGGCCUGCGGGUUGUGAACCUCUUUCGCCAGUGAAGCAGGCCUGCCUCGUUUGUGGGUGGGUUGACGGUAGCUGGAGAAGAAGCGCCGGCUAACUACGUG
This 494-nucleotide ribosomal RNA is filed under the name uncultured bacterium. RNAcentral's name for it is "partial 16S ribosomal RNA". It matches the Rfam family "Bacterial small subunit ribosomal RNA", at positions 36 to 507 of the family's 1533-position model. The record is from RNAcentral.